This 427-nucleotide unclassified non-coding RNA is filed under the name plant metagenome. RNAcentral's name for it is "partial contains 5.8S ribosomal RNA, internal transcribed spacer 2, and large subunit ribosomal RNA". It matches the Rfam family "Bacterial small subunit ribosomal RNA", at positions 358 to 777 of the family's 1533-position model. The record is from RNAcentral.
GGAAUAUUGCACAAUGGGCGCAAGCCUGAUGCAGCCAUGCCGCGUGUAUGAAGAAGGCCUUCGGGUUGUAAAGUACUUUCAGCGGGGAGGAAGGCGGUGAGGUUAAUAACCUCAUCGAUUGACGUUACCCGCAGAAGAAGCACCGGCUAACUCCGUGCCAGCAGCCGCGGUAAUACGGAGGGUGCAAGCGUUAAUCGGAAUUACUGGGCGUAAAGCGCACGCAGGCGGUCUGUCAAGUCGGAUGUGAAAUCCCCGGGCUCAACCUGGGAACUGCAUUCGAAACUGGCAGGCUAGAGGCUUGUAGAGGGGGGUAGAAUUCCAGGUGUAGCGGUGAAAUGCGUAGAGAUCUGGAGGAAUACCGGUGGCGAAGGCGGCCCCCUGGACAAAGACUGACGCUCAGGUGCGAAAGCGUGGGGAGCAAACAGGA